This is a long non-coding RNA of Myotis myotis, 2457 nucleotides long. RefSeq lists it as uncharacterized. The transcript has 2 exons. The record is from RefSeq and is a predicted model, not a curated record. NCBI's taxonomy places the organism in Eukaryota, Metazoa, Chordata, Mammalia, Chiroptera, Vespertilionidae.
AUACUUUCAACAAUAAAGAUAAAAACAAAAAGGCCUUUUAUGCACAAUGCCUUCAGGAGAUGGAUCGCAAAAGACUAGACCAAUAGAUCAAUAACUGUUUGCUUUUUGCAUCCACCAAGCUGAUCGUUUAUAAUAUCUAACAAAUAGGGAUACUAUUUAUGGUAUUCUAUUUAUUGAUUACUGGAUUUUGAGUGGGCCCAAUUUAAAAAAUGAAAUAUAGGUCAACCGAAAGCUACAUAUUUUGUAAAUCUAAUUCAUGUGAGAGGUUGGUUUAAAGGCUAUAAUUAAUUUAUUUAAUUAAAUGUAAAAGCUUUCUAGCUGAUAUAACUAAUGGAAAUAAUGUUCUGCUUUACAGAAAUCAUAUUUCAUUUUUGUUGGGUCUAUAUUAGAUGUCUGGUGGUCUUUUAAUAAUUUAAGAUCUGUGAGGAAAGACAAUGGGAUUUUUGUUCCAAUGGAUAUUGUGAAUUGGUAAUCUUGAAGGAAUUAUGACUUUGUGUUUUACUAUAUCCUGUGAUAAGAGCUCAGCCAGUUUUCAGAUAUAUCUACUUAUAUUCAGACAUGGAUGCAGCUCGGAGUGGGUGGACGUGCAUGAAAAACCUGGCAGCAUCCAUAGUGGGAGGAAGAAUAUUUUUUUAAUUGGGAAAACACCCAGAACAGUUUUUUGGGGUUUUUUGCAAAGGACAAAAAGUCCUCAAAAUUAUCAAGAAAGAAAAUUAUUCUUUGCUCUGAAACUUUUUGGUAAAAUGCCAUCCAGAUGAUUAGCUACAAUAAGGCAGUGGAAGGUAUAUGAUUAAGCACACGCUGAUGGUGGUAUUUAUAGCGCUUCCUUACCUUGGAGGAGAGCUGUGCUCAGGAAACUUGGUUGCAAACCAGCUCUCCUUUCUGGUGCUUGCUGGCGCUCCAGGCUGGACUUCGAGGCUCUGUGGGCUGACUGCGUGACCUUGAGCAAGUCACUUCCUCCCUCAGGGAUGUCAACAUUUCCUUAUGUGUAAAACGAUUGGUUAGAAGAACAACUUUAAUUAAAAAAAAUAUUUUUAAGGGCAGAUGCAGGCUAGAAGGGGUCAUUGGGGGUGAAAGGGGGACAUAUGUAAUACUUUCAACAAUAAAGAUUAAGAAAUAUUUUUUUAAACUACCGAAAAACAAUAUAUACUCAUCAUUCAGCCCUUAGGAAAAUUCUGGAGCAUUAUAGUUGCUCAAUAUAUAUGGAUUGAAUGUAUAAACUGCUGUGUGGGGUGUUUUUUUGUGUUUUUUUUUAAAGGAAAAGAGUACAAAGAUUUAAAUCACCUAUAAUUUUAACAUUUUGUUUUCUGUCCUUUCAGGUUGUUUCCUUGUGGGGGGGGAGGAAGGGGGGCAUAUAAACAAUUUCCCUUCUACUAGUGCACACUCUUUGGAGUCUGCCUCGUCGAUAAAUAAUGCUCUUCAUUGAACUAUCAUUGAAGAAUACGAUUUCCAUGACCUGGUUAUCCUCUCCGAGUUGAGUCUGUGUCAAAGCUUUCUCUCUGGUCCCCAUAUCGCCCAUGCACCAGGCCUUCAUUCCUGCCUUUCUGAAGAUGCCACAACCUGGUGUCCCAUAAGCACCUCAAACUCAGCAUGUUCCAAACCAAAUUUAUCCUUCCCGCCAAGUCCCUCACCCACAUUUUAUCCUGUUUCCCAAACUGUUAACAGCUUCAUGCUCUUCUUUUCAGGGUUGGACAUUUUGGUGGUUUCCAGUUUUUUUUGGUUUUUGCUUGUGUAUACUGUGAUGUAGAUCAUUACUCAGAUUCUUGAUGAUUGACUUAGAAAUCACCCUUCAGAAAGAAAUGACUCGGCCAAGCAAAGAAAAGCCACAGCAAGAUUGGAAGUGGCCAGCGUGUCUGGGGACAAGGUGACGUUGCAGAGGCUACUAGUCCAGUCGGAAGGCGAAGAUGGCACUGGGCAGUGGAGGUGGCCAUGCAGGGAGUAAAGAGACUCAUGGAAUAUGCAGGAGGUAGCCUGAGGAAGGGGGCCUUGCUGGUGGAUUGGAUUUGGGGGUGUAAGGAAGAAGAAAGGUAAAGUUCAAGGGUGACUCCUAAGGCUGGUUUGCACAGUUGGUUGGAUUGGAUUAAUAUUUCACAACUGGGGAGACCAGGAGACGAGCAUGGAGAGGCAAUGCGGAGGACAGCUUUAAAAGCCGAGUGUGCUUCUGGAUUGGAAACACAAAUUGGGAGCUUGUUUCCCUACGUCUCAGUGACGCCGAGAAAGCUGCAAAUCCAGCCAGCAUUCUUCUCCCUGCAGCUCAAACGCACUGCUGGAACUUCUUUUUGUUUGACUUGGGUUGAGCAAGUCCUGUGAUUGAUUUUAGUGAAACAAAUCACUUGUUUCAGGAUGAGCUUAGAAAUGGGGGAGAAGAAGAAGAAGGAAGAAAAUGCUUGGGAUGCUUUCAAUCAUGAUUUACAACCAAAUACUUUGUUAAAUAAAAUCUUGUGUUAUGUAAAAUGA